This 85-nucleotide transfer RNA is filed under the name Felis catus (domestic cat). It matches the Rfam family "tRNA". Rfam says of the family: Transfer RNA (tRNA) molecules are approximately 80 nucleotides in length. Their secondary structure includes four short double-helical elements and three loops (D, anti-codon, and T loops). The record is from Rfam by way of RNAcentral. Lineage: Eukaryota; Metazoa; Chordata; Mammalia; Carnivora; Felidae.
GCCUGGGUAACUCAGUUGGUUGAGUGUCUGACUGAGGCCCAGGUCAUGAUCUCAUGGUCUGUGAGUUCGAGCCCCACAUCGGGCU